UUCUACAGCCUUACUACCCUGAAUGCACCUGAUCUUGUCUGAUCUCAAAGCUAAAUAGGGUCGGGCAUGGAUAGUACUUGGAUGGGAGAUACUUGUGGAUUGGAUU
RNAcentral lists this ribosomal RNA (106 nucleotides) under Fukomys damarensis (Damara mole-rat). The record is from RNAcentral. Lineage: Eukaryota; Metazoa; Chordata; Mammalia; Rodentia; Bathyergidae.